AGCUGUAAAGGCGAUCAGGCUGCAACAUCUGUCAACCCAUUGAUUGCCAGGAUUGAUCUGGCUGGCUAGGCAAGUGUCCCCUUCCUCCUUCAAUGUUCUACUGUGCAUCCCUCCCAAAGCUGUGUGCUCAGUCAAAGAGAACACCCUUCCCCAAUAGAGGAGGACCAGUCUUUAACCAAGGGUAUACAAGUAGCUGUACUCCUCUCCUAGAACUUCCAAACAAUCCCUCAAAAUAAAGAAGAAAGAGAAGAGGAGAGAGAGAGAGAGAG
Molecule: small nuclear RNA, 269 nt
Filed under: Nannospalax galili (Upper Galilee mountains blind mole rat)
Lineage: Eukaryota; Metazoa; Chordata; Mammalia; Rodentia; Spalacidae
Description: 7SK RNA (ENSNGAG00000005968.1)
Rfam family: 7SK RNA
About the family: 7SK was discovered as an abundant small nuclear RNA in the mid-70s but a possible function has only recently been suggested. Two independent studies have found that 7SK RNA binds the CDK9/cyclin T complex (known as elongation factor P-TEFb). P-TEFb activates transcription by phosphorylating the C-terminal domain of RNA polymerase II.
Source: RNAcentral